RNAcentral lists this long non-coding RNA (20960 nucleotides) under Sorghum bicolor (sorghum). Its description in RNAcentral is "long non-coding RNA (SBIC_LNC010495)". The record is from RNAcentral. Lineage: Eukaryota; Viridiplantae; Streptophyta; Magnoliopsida; Poales; Poaceae.
CGGAUGGGUUGUAGGACAUGAAAACAAUAUAGCACUAGACUUAUGGGACGAACACAAGGACACUCGAAACUAAGGAUAGAUGUGAACCUAACGGUACGUCUGAAGCUUUGAUUACCAAUUGAGGAGAACAAGUGUGGCCCGAUCUUCCAAAAGGUCCGGGUAACUAUCGAUUUGGUGGAAACGAGACCCAAAUCAGUCCACCUUGCGAACAACACGAUUCGAAACCCUACAAUUCUUUUCAUUUUUUUUAUUUGAUAUUUUGUUUUACUUAGGAGCACCGAAGAAGUAGCCAUAGAAAAUUUGAGCUUAAACAAGUGAAAGACGUGGCCUGUGGAAUUUUUUGUAGAUUGCGAAAAAUAUGAAAAUAAACUUUAGGAGGUGAAAACUCAAAUUUAGAGGCGAAUUUGGGGAUUCUAAAUUUGUCGAGCCCGCCUACGGGGGGAUAGAUAGACCCAUAAAUUUUUUCUGAUUGAUUUUGAAAUACAUUGAUUUUGAUAUAUGGAAUAUCAAAAUCGGAGUUCGUAUGCGAAAGUUAUGGUUGUUUUACGAACGGACUCCGAAUUAGAGGACAAAACAGUCCGGAAGUGGGAAAAAGUUGCGGCGGUGGCUAUAAAUUGAUGGAAAUGGUGGGAAGAAACACAUGAAUUGGACUCUAACAAGACCUAACCAGCAACAAGAUCUCGACCAGGACACAAACUCAACACUACGGACUCUGAAACUGAAAUAUGCACAGGCUAUGGCGCGGAUGGGAUGUAGGACAUGAAAACAAUAUAGCAGUAGACUUAUGGGACGAACACAAGGACACUUGAAACUAAGGAUAGAUGUGAACCUAACGGUACGUCUGAAGCUUUGAUUAACACUUGAGGACAACAAGUGUGUCCCGAUCUUCCGAAAGGUUCUGGUAACUAUCGAUUUGGUGGAAACGAGACCCAAAUCAAUCCACCUUGCGAACAACGCGGUUUGAAACCCUGCAAUUCUUUUUAUUUUUUUGAUAUUUUUCUUUUACUUAGGAGCACUCAAGAAGUAACCACAGAAAAUUUGAGCUUAAAUAAGUGAAAGACGUGGUCUGUGGAAUUUUUUGAAGAUUGCGAAAAAUAUGAAAAUAAACUUUAAGAGGUGAAAACUCAAAAUUAGAGGCAAAUUUGGGGAUUCUAAAUUUGUCGAACCCACCAAUGGUGGGGAUAGACAGACCCAAAAAUUUUUUCUGAUUGAUUUUGAUUUAUGGAACGUCAAAAUCGGAGAUCGUAUGCGAAUGUUAUGGUUGUUUUAAGAACGGACUCAGAAUUAGAGGACAAAACAGUCCGGAAGUGGGAAAAAUUUGCGGCGGUGGCUAUAAAUUGAUGGAAACGGUGGGAAAAAACACACAAAUUGGACUCAAACAAGACCUAACCAGUAACAAGACCUCGACCAGGACACAAACUCAACACUACGGACUCUGAAACUGAAAUAUGCAAAGACUAUGGUGCGGAUGGGUUGUAGGACAUGAAAACAAUAUGGCACCAGACUUAUGGGACGAACACAAGGACACUCGAAACUAAGGGUAGAUGUGAACCUAACGUUAUCUCUGAAGCUUUGAUUACCACUUGAGGAGAAUAAGUGUGGCCUGAUCUUCCAAAAGUUUCUGGCAACUAUCGAUUUGGUGGAAAAGAGACACAAAUCAAUGCAGCUUGCGAACAACACAGUUCGAAACCUGCAAUUCUUUUUAUUUUUUUUUUGAUAUUUUUCUUUUACUUAGGAGCACUCAAGAAGUAACCACAGGAAAUUUGAGCUUGAACAAGAGAAAGACGUGGCCUGUGGAAACUUUUGAAGAUUGCGAAAAAUAUAAAGAAAACUUUAGGAGGUGAAAACUCAAACUUCAGAGGCGAAUUUGGGGAUUGUAAAUUUGUUGAACCCGCCAAUGGCGGGCAUAGACAGACAUCGAUUUUGAUAUAUGGAACGUCAAAAUCGGAGUUCGUAUGCGAAAGUUAUGGCUGUUUUACGAACGCACUCCGAAUUAGAGGACAAAACAGUCCGGAAGUGGGAAAAUUUGCGGCGGUGGCUAUAAAUUGAUGGAAACGGUGGGAAGAAACAUACAAAUUGGACUCUAACAAGACCUAACCAGUAACAAGACCUCGACCAGGACACAAACUCAACACUACGGACUCUGAAACUGAAAUAUGGAAAGGCUAUGGCGCGGAUGGGUUGUAGGACAUGAAAACAAUAUAGCACUAGACUUAUGGGACGAACACAAGGACACUCGAAACUAAGGAUAGAUGUGAACCUAACGGUACGUCUGAAGCUUUGAUUACCACUUGAGGAGAACAAGUGUGGCCCGAUCUUCCGAAAGGUUCUGGUAACUAUCGAUUUGGUAGAAACGAGACCCAAAUCAAUCCACCUUGCGAACAACAUGAUUCGAAACACUACAAUUCUUUUUAUUUUUUUUAUUUGUUAUUUUCUUUUACUUAGGAGCACCGAAGAAGUAGCCACAGGAAAUUUGAGCUUAAACAAGUGAAAGACGUGGCCUGUGGAAUUUUUUGUAGAUUGCAAAAAAUAUGAAAAUAAACUCUAGGAGGUGAAAACUCAAACUUCAGAGGCGAAUUUGGGGAUUCUAAAUUUGUCGAACCCGCCUUUGGGGGAUAGACAGACCCAAAAAAUUUUUCUAAUUGAUUUUGAUAUAUGGAACGUCAAAAUCGGAGUUCGUAUGCGAAAGUUAUGGCUGUUUUACGAACGGACCCCAAAUUAGAGGACAAAACAGUCCGGAUGUGGGAAAAAUUUGCGGCGGUGGUUAUAAAUUGAUGGAAACGGUGGGAAGAAACACACAAAUUGGACUCUAACAAGACCUAACCAGUAACAAGACCUUGACUAGGACACAAAACACUACGGACUCUGAAACUGAAAUAUGCAAAGGCUAUGGCGCGGAUGGGUUGUAGGACAUGAAAACAAUAUGGCACCAGACUUAUGGGACGAACACAAGGACACUCGAAACUAAGGGUAGAUGUGAACCUAACGGUAUGUCUGAAGCUUUGAUUACCACUUGAGGAGAAUAAGUGUGGCCCGAUCUUCCGAAAGGUUGUGGUAACUAUCGAUUUGGUGGAAAAGAGACACAAAUCAAUCGAGCUUGCGAACAACACGGUUCGAAACCUGCAAUUCUUUUUAUUUUUUUUGAUAUUUUUCUAUUACUUAGGAGCACUCAAGAAGUAACCAAAGGAAAUUUGAGCUUAAACAAGUGAAAGACGUGGCCUGUGGAAUUUUUUGAAGAUUGCGAAAAAUAUAAAAAAAACUUUAGGAGGUCAAAACUCAAACUUCAGGGGUGAAUUUGGGGAUUCUAAAAUUAUUGAACCCACCUCUAGCGGAGAUAGACAGAUCCAAAAAUUUGUUCUGAUCGAUUUUGAUAUAUGCAACGUCAAAAUCGGAGUUCGUAUGCGAAAGUUAUGGCUGUUUUACGAACGGACUCCGAAUUAGAGGACAAAACGUCCGGAAGUGGGAAAAAUUUGCGUUGGUGGCUAGAAAUUGAUGGAAACGGUAGGAAAAAACACACAAACUGGACUCAAACAAGACCUAACUAGUAACAAGACCUCGACCUGGACACAAUCUCAAAACUACGGAUUCUGAAACUGAAAUAUGCAAAGGCUAUAGCGCGGAUGGGUUGUAGGACAUGAAAACAAUAUGACACUAGACUUAUGAGACGAACACAAGGACACUCGAAACUAAGUGUAGAUGUGAACCUAACGGUAUGUCUGAUGCUUUGAUUACCACUUGAGGAGAACAAGUGUGGCCCGAUCUUCCAAAAGAUUCUGGUAACUGUCGAUUUCGUGGAAACGAGACACAAAUCAAUCCAGCUUGCGAACAACACGAUUCGAAACCCUACAAUCCUUUUUAUUUUUUUUUGAUGUUUUUCUUUUACUUAGGAGCACUCAAGAAGUAACCACUGGAAAUUUGAGCUUAAACAAGUGAAAGACGUGAGCUGUGGAAACUUUUGAAUAUUGCGAAAAAUAUGAAAAAAAAAUUUUGGAGGUGAAAACUCAAACUUCAGAGGCAAAUUUGGGGAUUCUAAAAUUGUCAAACCCGCACACGGCAGGGAUAGACAGAUCCAAAAAUUUGGUUUGAUCGAUUUUGAUAUAUGGAACGUCAAAAUCGGAGUUCGUAUGCGAAAAUUAUGGCUGCAUUACGAACGGACACCGAAUGAGAAGACAAAACGGUCCGGAAGUGGGAAAAAUUUGCGGCGGUGGCUAGAAAUUGAUGGAAACGGUGAGAAGAAACACAUAAAUUGGACUCUAACAAGACCUAACCAGUAACAAGAUCUCGACCAGGACACAAACUCAACACUACGGACUCUGAAACUGAAAUAUGCAAAGGCUAUGGCGCAGAUGGGUUGUAGGACAUGAAAACAAUAUAGCACUAGACUUUUAGGACGAACACAAGGACACUCGAAACUAAGGAUAGAUGUGAACCUAACGGUACGUCUGAAGCUUUGAUUACCACUUGAGGAGAACAAGUGUGGCCCGAUCUUCCGAAAGGUUCUGGUAACUAUCGAUUUGGUGGAAACGAGACGCAAAUCAAUCCACCUUGCGAACAACACGAUUUGAAACCCUACAAUUCUUUUUUUUAUUUGAUAUUUUUCUUUUACUUAGGAGCACCAAAGAAGUAGCCACAGGAAAUUUGAGCUUAAACAAGUGAAAGACGUGGCCUGUGGAAUUUUUUGUAGAUUGCGAAAAAUAUGAAAAUAAACUUUAGGAGGUGAAAACUCAAACAUCAGAGGCGAAUUUGGGGAUUCUAAAUUUGUCGAACCCGCUCUUUGCGAGGAUAGACAGACCCAAAAAUUUUUUCUGAUUGAUUUUGAUAUAUGGCACGUCAAAAUCGGAGUUCGUAUGCGAAAGUUAUGGCUGUUUUACGAAUGGACUCCGAAUUAGAGGACAAAACGGUCCGGAAGUGGGAAAAAUUUGUGGUGGUGGCUAGAAAUUGAUGGAAACGGUGGGAAGAAACACACAAAUUGGACUCUAACAAGACCUAACCAGUAACAAGACCUCGACCAGGAUACAAACUCAACACUACGGACUAUGAAACUGAAAUAUGCAAAGGGUAUGGCGCAGAUGGGUUGUGGGACAUGAAAACAGUAUGGCACCAGACUUAUGGGACGAACACAAGGACACUCGAAAUUAAGGGUAGAUGUGAACCUAACUGUAUGUCUGAAGCUUUGAUUACCACUUGAGGAGAAUAUGUGUGGCCCAAUCUUCUGAAAGGUUCUGGUAACUAUCGAUUUGGUGGAAAAGAGACACAAAUCAAUCCAGCUUGCGAACAACACGGUUCGAAACCUGCAAUUCUUUUUAUUUUUGUUGAUAUUUUUCAUUUACUUAGGAGCACUCAUGAAGUAACCACAGGAAAUUUGAGCUUAAACAAUUGAAAGACGUGGCCUGUGGAAUUUUUUGAAGAUUACAAAAAAUAUAAAAAAACUUUAGGAGGUCAAAACUCAAACUUCAGGGGCGAAUUUGGGGAUUCUAAAAUUAUUGAACCCGCCUCUAGCAGAGAUAGAUAGAUCCAAAAAUUUGUUCUGAUCGAUUUUGAUAUAUGGAACGUCAAAAUCGGACUUCGUAUGCGAAAGUUAUGGUUGUUUUACGAACGGACUCCGAAUUAGAGGACAAAACGGUCCGGAAGUGAGAAAAAUUUGCGGUGGUGGCUAGAAAUUGAUGGAAACGGUGGGAAAAAACACACAAAUUGGACUCAAACAAGACCUAACCAGUAACAAGACCUCGACCAGGACACAAACGCAAAACUACGGAUUCUGAAACUGAAAUAUGCAAAGGUUAUAGCGCGGAUGGGUUGUACGACAUGAAAACAAUAUGGCACUAGACUUAUGAGACGAGCACAAGGACACUCGAAACUAAGGGUAGAUGUGAACCUAACGGUAUGUCUGAUGCUUUGAUUACCACUUGAGGAGAACAAGUGUGGCCCGAUCUUCCAAAAGGUUCUAGAAACUAUCGAUUAAGUGGAAACGAGACACAAAUCAAUCCAGCUUGCGAACAACACGAUUCGAAACCCUACAAUUCUUUUUAUUUUUUUUGAUAUUUUUCUUUUACUUAGGAGCACUCAAGAAGUAACCAUAGGAAAUUUGAGGUUAAACAAGUGAAAGACGUGAGCUGUGGAAACUUUUGAAAAUUGCGAAAAAUAUGAAAAAAACUUUUGGAGGUGAAAACUCAAACUUUGGAGGUGAAUUUGGGGAUUCUAAAAUUGUCAAACCCGCACACGGCGGGGAUAGACAGAUCCAAAAAUUUGGUUUGAUCGAUUUUGAUAUAUGGAACGUCAAAAUCGGAGUUCGUAUGCGAAUGUUAUGUCUGUUUUACGAACGGACACCGAAUUAGAAGACAAAACGGUCCGGAAGUGGGAAAAAUUUGCGGCGGUGGCUAGAAAUUGAUGGAAACAGUGGGAAGAAACACACAAAUUAGACUCUAACAAGACCUAACCAGUAACAAGAUCUCGACCAGGAGACAAACUCAACACUACGGACUCUGAAACUGAAAUAUGCAAAGGCUAUGACGCGGAUGGGUUGUAGGACAUGAAAACAAUAUAGCACUAGACUUAUGGGACGAACACAAGGACACUCGAAACUAAGGAUAGAUGUGAAACUAACGGUACAUCUGAAGCUUUGAUUACCAAUUGAGGAGAACAAGUGUGGCCCGAUCUUCCGAAAGGUUCGGGUAACUAUCGAUUUGGUGGAAACGAGACCCAAAUCAGUCCACCUUGCGAACAACACGAUUCGAAACCCUACAAUUCUUUUCAUUUUUUUUAUUUGAUAUUUUGUUUUACUUAGGAGCACCGAAGAAGUAGCCAUAGAAAAUUUGAGCUUAAACAAGUGAAAGACGUGGCCUGUGGAAUUUUUUGUAGAUUGCGAAAAAUAUGAAAAUAAACUUUAGGAGGUGAAAACUCAAAUUUAGAGGCGAAUUUGGGGAUUCUAAAUUUGUCGAACCCGCCUACGGGGGGAUAGACAGACCCAAAAAUUUUUUCUGAUUGAUUUUGAAAUACAUUGAUUUUGAUAUAUGGAACAUCAAAACCGGAGUUCGUAUGCGAAAGUUAUGGUUGUUUUACGAACGGACUCCGAAUUAGAGGACAAAACAGUCCGGAAGUGGGAAAAAGUUGCGGCGGUGGCUAUAAAUUGAUGGAAAUGGUGGGAAGAAACACAUGAAUUGGACUCUAACAAGACCUAACCAGUAACAAGAUCUCGACCAGGACACAAACUCAACACUACGGACUCUGAAACUGAAAUAUGCACAGGCUAUGGCGCGGAUGGGAUGUAGGACAUGAAAACAAUAUAGCAGUAGACUUAUGGGACGAACACAAGGACACUUGAAACUAAGGAUAGAUGUGAACCUAACGGUACGUCUGAAGCUUUGAUUAACACUUGAGGACAACAAGUGUGUCCCGAUCUUCCGAAAGGUUCUGGUAACUAUCGAUUUGGUGGAAACGAGACCCAAAUCAAUCCACCUUGCGAACAACGCGGUUUGAAACCCUGCAAUUCUUUUUAUUUUUUUGAUAUUUUUCUUUUACUUAGGAGCACUCAAGAAGUAACCACAGAAAAUUUGAGCUUAAAUAAGUGAAAGACGUGGUAUGUGGAAUUUUUUGAAGAUUGCGAAAAAUAUGAAAAUAAACUUUAGGAGGUGAAAACUCAAAAUUAGAGGCGAAUUUGGGGAUUCUAAAUUUGUCGAACCCACCAAUGGUGGGGAUAGACAGACCCAAAAAUUUUUUCUGAUUGAUUUUGAUUUAUGGAACGUCAAAAUCGGAGAUCGUAUGCGAAAGUUAUGGUUGUUUUAAGAACGGACUCAGAAUUAGAGGACAAAACGGUCCGGAAGUGGGAAAAUUUUGCGGUGGUGGCUAUAAAUUGAUGGAAACGGUGGGAAUAAACACACAAAUUGGACUCUAACAAGACCUAACCAGUAACAAGAUCUUGACCAGGACACAAACUCAACACUACGGACUCUGAACUGCAAUGGCUAUGGCGCGGAUGGGUUGUAGGACAUGAAAACAAUAUAGCACUAGACUUAUGGGACGAACACAAGGACACUCGAAACUAAGGAUAUAUGUGAACCUAACGGUACGUCUGAAGCUUUGAUUAACACUUGGGGAGAACAAGUGUGGCCCGAUCUUCCGAAUGGUUCUGGUAACUAUCGAUUUGGUGGAAACGAGACACAAAUCAAUCCAGCUUACGAACAACACGAUUCGAAACCCUACAAUUCUUUUUAUUUUUUGUUUGAUAUUUUUAUUUUACUUAGGAGCACUCAAGAAGUAAGCACAUGAAAUUUGGGCUUAAACAAGUGAAAGACGUGACCUGUGGAAACUUUUGAAAAUUGCGAAAAAUAUGAAAAAAACUUUUGGAGGUGAAACCUCAAACUUUAGAGUGGAAUUUGGGGAUUUUUAAUUUGUUGAACCUGCCUAUGGGGGGAUAGACAGACCCAAAAAAUUUUUCUGAUUGAUUUUGAUAUAUGGAACGUCAAAAUCGGAGUUCGUAUGCGAAAGUUAUGGCUGUUUUACGAAUGGACUCCGAAUUAUAGGACAAAACAGUCCGGAAGUGGGAAAAAUUUGCGGCGGUGGCUAUAAGUUGAUGGAAACGGUGGGAAGAAACAUACAAAUUGGACUCUAACAAGACCUAACCAGUAACAAGAUCUCGACCAGGACACAAACUCAACACUACGGACUCUGAAACUGAAAUAUGCAAAGGCUAUGGCGCGGAUGGGUUGUAGGACAUGAAAACAAUAUAGCACUAGACUUAUGGGACGAACACAAGGACACUCGAAACUAAGGGUAGAUGUGAACCUAACGGUACGUCUGAAGCUUUGAUUACCACUUGAGGAGAACAAGGCCCGAUCUUCCGAAAGGUUCUGGUAACUAUCGAUUUGGUGGAAACGAGACACAAAUCAAUCCAGUUUGCGAACAACACGAUUCGAAACCCUGCAAUUCUUUUUUUUUUGAUAUUUUUCUUUUACUUAGGAGCACUGAAGAAGUAACCACAUGAAAUUUGAGCUUAAACAAGUGAAGGACGUGGCCUGUGGAAUUUUUUGAAGAUUGCGAAAAAUAUGAAAAUAAAGUUUAGGAGGUGAAAACUCAAAUUUUCAGAGGCGAGUUUGGGAAUUCUAAAUUUGUCGCACCCGCCUAUGGCGGGGAUAGACAGAUCCAAAAAUUUUUCUUAUCGAUUUUGAUAUAUGGAACGUCAAAAUCGGAGUUCGUAGGCGAAAGUUAUGGCUGUUUUACGAAUGGACUCUGAAUUAGAGGACAAAACGGUCCGGAAGUGGGAAAAAUUUGCGUUGGUGGCUAGAAAUUGAUGGAAACGGUGGGAAAAAACACACAAACUGGACUCUAACAAGACCAAAUCAGUAACAAGACCUCGACCAGGACACAAACUCAACACUAUGGAGUCUGAAACUGAAAUAUGCAAAGGUUAUGGCGCGGAUGGGUUGUAGGACAUGAAAACAAUUUGGCACUAGACUUAUGGGACGAACACAAGGACACUCAAAACUAAGGGUAGAUGUGAACCUAACGGUACGUCUGAAGCUUUGAUUACCACUUGAGGAGAACAAGGCCCGAUCUUCCGAAAGGUUCUGGUAACUAUCGAUUUGGUGGAAACGAGACACAAAUCAAUCCAGUUUGCGAACAACACGAUUUGAAACCCUGCAAUUCUUUUUAUUUUUUUGAUAUUUUUCUUUUACUUAGAAGCACUCAAAAAGUAACCACAGGAAAUUUGAGCUUAAACAAGUGAAGGACGUGGCCUGUGGAAUUUUUUGAAGAUUGCGAAAAAUAUGAAAAUAAAGUUUAGGAGGUGAAAACUCAAAUUUUUAGAGGCGAGUUUGGGAAUUCUAAAUUUGUCGCACCCGCCUAUGGUGGGGAUAGACAGAUCCAAAAAUUUUUCUGAUUGAUUUUGAUAUAUGGAACGUCAAAAUCGGAGUUCGUAGGCGAAAGUUAUGGCUGUUUUACGAACGGACUCUGAAUUAGAGGACAAAACGGUCCGGAAGUGGGAAAAUUUUGCGGUGGUGGCUAUAAAUUGAUGGAAACGGUGGGAAGGAACACACAAAUUGGACUCUAACAAGACCUAACCAGUAACAAGAUCUCGACCAGGACAAAAACUCAACACUACGGACUCUGAAACUGAAAUAUGCAAAGGCUAUGGCGCGGAUGGGUUGUAGGACAUGAAAACAAUAUAGCACUAGACUUAUGGGACGAACACAAGGACACUCGAAACUAAGGGUAGAUGUGAACCUAACGGUACGUCUGAAGCUUUGAUUACCACUUGAGGAGAACAAGGCCCGAUCUUCCGAAAGGUUCUGGUAACUAUCGAUUUGGUGGAAACGAGACACAAAUCAAUCCAGUUUGCGAACAACACGAUUCGAAACCCUGCAAUUCUUUUUUUUUGAUAUUUUUCUUUUACUUAGGAGCACUGAAGAAGUAACCACAUGAAAUUUGAGCUUAAACAAGUGAAGGACGUGGCCUGUGGAAUUUUUUGAAUAUUGCGAAAAAUAUUAAAAUAAAGUUUAGGAGGUGAAAACUCAAAUUUUCAGAGGCGAGUUUGGGAAUUCUAAAUUUGUCGCACCCGCCUAUGGCGGGGAUAGACAGAUCCAAAAAUUUUUCUGAUCGAUUUUGAUAUAUGGAACGUCAAAAUCGGAGUUCGUAGGCGAAAGUUAUGGCUGUUUUACGAACGGACUCUAAAUUAGAGGACAAAACGGUCCGGAAGUGGGAAAAAUUUGCGGUGGUGGCUAGAAAUUGAUGGAAACGGUGGGAAAAAACACACAAACUGGACUCUAACAAGACCAAAUCAGUAACAAGACCUCGACCAGGACACAAACUCAACACUAUGGAGUCUGAAACUGAAAUAUGCAAAGGUUAUGGCGCGGAUGGGUUGUAGGACAUGAAAACAAUUUGGCACUAGACUUAUGGGACGAACACAAGGACACUCGAAACUAAGGGUAGAUGUGAACCUAACGGUACGUCUGAAGCUUUGAUUACCACUUGAGGAGAACAAGGCCCGAUCUUCUGAAAGGUUCUGGUAACUAGCGAUUUGGUGGAAACGAGACACAAAUCAAUUCAGUUUGCGAACAACACGAUUCGAAACCCUGCAAUUCUUUUUAUUUUUUUGAUAUUUUUCUUUUACUUAGGAGCACUCAAGAAGUAACCACAGGAAAUUUGAGCUUAAACAAGUGAAGGACGUGGCCUGUGGAAUUUUUUGAAGAUUUCGAAAAAUAUGAAAAUAAACUUUAGGAGGUGAAAACUCAAAUUUUCAGAGGCGAGUUUGGGAAUUCUAAAUUUGUCGCACCCGCUAAGGUGGGGAUAGACAGAUCCAAAAAUUUUUCUGAUCGAUUUUGAUAUAUGGAACGUCAAAAUCGGAGUUCGUAGGUGAAAGUUAUGGCUGUUUUACGAACGGACUCUGAAUUAGAGGAUAAAACGGUCCGGAAGUGGGAAAAUUUUGCGGUGGUGGCUAUAAAUUGAUGGAAACGGAGGGAAGAAACACACAAAUUGGACUCUAACAAGACCUAACCAGUAACAAGAUCUCGACCAGGACACAAACUCAACACUACGGACUCUGAACUGAAAUAUGCAAAGGCUAUGGCGCGGAUGGGUUGUAGGACAUGAAAACAAUAUAGCACUAGACUUAUGGGACGAACACAAGGACACUCGAAACUAAGGAUAGAUGUGAACCUAACGGUACGUCUGAAGCUUUGAUUAACACUUGAGGAGAACAAGUGUGGCCCGAUCUUCCGAAUGGUUCUAGUAACUAUCAAUUUGGUGGAAACGAGACCCAAAUCAAUCCACCUUGCGAACAACGCGGUUCAAAACCCUGCAAUUCUUUUUAUUUUUUUUUUGAUAUUUUUCUUUUACCUAGGAGCACUCAAGAAUUAACCAUUGGAAAUUUGAGCUUAAACAAGUGAAAGACGUGGCCUGUGAAAUUUUUUGAAGAUUGCAAAAAAUAUAAAAAAACUUUAGGAGGUGAAAACUCAAACUUCAGGUGCGAAUUUGGGGAUUCUAAAAUUAUCGAACCCUCCUCUAGCAGAGAUGGACAGAUCCAAAAAUUUGUUCCGAUCGAUUUUAAUAUAUGGAACGUCAAAAUCGGAGUUCGUAUGCGAAAGUUAUGUCUGUUUUACGAACGGACUCCGAAUUAGAGGACAAAACGGUCCAGAAGUGGGGAAAAUUUGUGGUGGUGGCUAGAAAUUGAUGGAAACGGUGGGAAAAAACACACAAACUGGACUCUAACAAGACCAAAUCAGUAACAAGACCUCGACCAGGACACAAACUCAACACUACGGACUCUGAAACUGAAAUAUGCAAAGGUUAUGGCGCGGAUGGGUUGUAGGACAUGAAAACAAUUUGGCACUAGACUUAUGGGAUGAAUACAAGGACACUCGACACUAAGGGUAGAUGUGAACCUAACGGUACGUCUGAAGCUUUGAUUACCACUUAAGGAGAACAAGGCCCGAUCUUCCGAAAGGUUCUGUGGUAACUAUCGAUUUGGUGGAAACGAGACAGAAAUCAAUCCAGUUUGCGAACAACAUGAUUCGAAACCCUGCAAUUCUUUUUUUUGAUAUUUUUCUUUUACUUAGGAGCACUGAAGAAGUAACCACAAGAAAUUUGAACUAAAACAAGUGAAGGACGUGGCCUGUGGAAUUUUUUGAAGAUUGCGAAAAAUAUGAAAAUAAAGUUUAGGAGGUGAAAACUCAAAUUUUCAGAGGCGAGUUUGGGAAUUCUAAAUUUGUCGCACCCGCCUAUGGCGGGGAUAGACAGAUCCACAAAUUUUUCUGAUCGAUUUUGAUAUAUGGAACGUCAAAAUCGGAGUUCGUAGGCGAAAGUUAUGGCUGUUUUACGAACGGACUCUGAAUUAGAGGACAAAACGGUCCGGAAGUGGGAAAAUUUUGCGGUGGUGGCUAUAAAUUGAUAGAAACGGUGGGAAGAAACACACAAAUGGGACUCUAACAAGACCUAACCAGUAACAAGAUCUCGACCAGGACACAAACUCAACACUACGGACUCUGAACUGAAAUAUGGAAAGGCUAUGGCGUGGAUGGGUUGUAGGACAUGAAAACAAUAUAGCACUAGACUUUUGGGACAAACACAAGGACACUCGAAACUAAGGAUAGAUGUGAACCUAACGGUACAUCUGAAGCUUUGAUUAACACUUGAGGAGAACAAGUGUGGCCCGAUCUUCCGAAAGGUUCUACUAACUAUCAAUUUGGUGGAAACGAGACCCAAAUGAAUCCACCUUGCGAACAACGCGGUUCGAAACCCUGCAAUUCUUUUUUAUUUUUUUUGAUAUUUUUCUUUUACUUAGGAGUACUCAAGAAGUAACCACACGAAAUUUGAGCUUAAAAAAGUGAAAGACGUGGCCUGUGGAAUUUUUUGAAGAUUGCAAAAAAUAUAAAAAACUUUAGGAGGUGAAAACUCAAAAUUCAGGGGCGAAUUUGGGGAUUCUAAAAUUAUCAAACCCACCUCUAGCGGAGAUAGACAGAUCCAAAAAUUUGUUCUGAUCGAUUUUGAUAUAUGGAACGUCAAAAUCGGAGUUCGUAUGCGAAAGUUAUGGCUGUUUUACGAACGGACUCCGAAUUAGAGGACAAAACGGUCCGGAAGUGGGAAAAAUUUGUGGUGGUGGCUAGAAAUUGAUGGAAACGGUGGGAAAAAACAUACAAACUGGACUCUAACAAGACCAAAUCAGUAACAAGACCUUGACUAGGACACAAACUCAACACUACGGACUCUGAAACUGAAAUAUGCAAAGGUUAUGGCGCAGAUGGAUUGUAGGACAUGAAAACAAUUUGACACUAGACUUAUGGGACGAACACAAGGACACUCGAAACUAAGGGUACAUGUGAACCUAACGGUACGUCUGAAGCUUUGAUUACCACUUGAGGAGAACAAGGCCCGAUCUUCCGAAAGGUUCUGGUAACUAUCGAUUUGGUGGAAACGAGGCACAAAUCAAUCCAGUUUGCGAACAACACGAUUCGAAACCCUGCAAUUCUUUUUUUUAUAUAUUUUUCUUUUACUUAGGAGCACUGAAGAAGUAACCACAAGAAAUUUGAGCUUAAACAAGUGAAGGACAUGGCCUGUGGAAUUUUUUGAAGAUUGUGAAAAAUAUGAAAAUAAAGAUUAGGAGGUGAAAACUCAAAUUUUCAGAGGCGAGUUAGGGAAUUCUAAAUUUGUCGCACCCGCCUAUGGCGGGGAUAGACAAAUCCAAAAUUUUUUCUGAUCGAUUUUGAUAUAUGGAACGUCAAAAUCGGAGUUCGUAGGCGAAAGUUAUGGCUGUUUUACGAACCGACUCUGAAUUAGAGGACAAAACGGUCCGGAAGUGGGAAAAAUUUGCGGUGGUGGCUAUAAAUUGAUGGAAACGGUGGGAAGAAACACACAAAUUGGACUCUAACAAGACCUAACCAGUAACAAGAUCUCGACCAGGACACAAACUCAACACUACGGACUCUAAAACUGAAAUAUGCAAAGGCUAUGGCGCAGAUGGGUUGUAGGACAUGAAAACAAUAUAGCACUAGACUUAUGGGACGAACACAAGGACACUCGAAACUAAGGAUAGAUGUGAACCUAACGGUACGUCUGAAGCUUUGAUUAACACUUGAGGAGAACAAGUGUGGCCCGAUCUUUCGAAAGGUUCUAGUAACUAUCAAUUUGGUGGAAACGAGAUCCAAAUCAAUCCAUCUUGCGAAGAACGCGGUUCGAAACCCUGCAAUUCUUUUUUUUUGAUAUUUUUCUUUUACUUGGGAGCACUGAAGAAGUAACCACAGGAAAUUUGAGCUUAAACAAGUGAAAGACUUGGCCUGUGGAAUUUUUUGAAUAUUGCGAAAAAUAUAAAAAAACUUUAGGAGGUGAAAACUCAAACUUCAGGGGUGAAUUUGGGGAUUCUAAAAUUAACGAACCCACCUCUAGCGGAGAUAGACAGAUCCAAAAAUUUCUUCUCAUCGAUUUUGAUAUAUGGAACGUCAAAAUCGGAGUUCGUAUGCGAAAGUUAUGGCUGUUUUAGGAACGGACUCCGAAUUAGAGGACAAAACGGUCCGGAAGUGGGAAAAAUUUGUGGUGGUGGCUAGAAAUUGAUGGAAACGGUGGGAAAAAACACGCAAACUGGACUCUAACAAGACCAAAUCAGUAACAAGACCUUGACCAGGACACAAACUCAACAUUACGGACUCUGAAACUGAAAUAUGCAAAGGUUAUGGCGCGGAUGGGUUGUAGGACAUGAAAACAAUUUGGCACUAGACUUAUGGGACGAACACAAGGACACUCGAAACUAAGGGUAGAUGUGAACCUAACGGUACGUCUGAAGCUUUGAUUACCACUUGAGGAGAACAAGGCCCGAUCUUCCGAAAGGUUCUGGUAACUAUCGAUUUGGUGGAAACGAGACACAAAUCAAUCCAGUUUGCUAACAACACGAUUCGAAACCCUGCAAUUCUUUUUUUUUAUAUAUUUUUCUUUUACUUAGGAGCACUGAAGAAGUAACCACAAGAAAUUUGAGCUUAAACAAGUGAAGGACAUGGCUUGUGGAAUUUUUUGAAGAUUGCGAAAAAUAUGAAAAUAAUGUUUAGGAGGUGAAUACUCAAAUUUUCAGAGGCGAGUUUGGGAAUUCGAAAUAUGUCGCACCCGCCUAUGGCGGGGAUAGACAGAUCCACAAAAUUUUCUGAUCGAUUUUGAUAUAUGGAACGUCAAAAUCGGAGUUCGUAGGCGAAAGUUAUGGCUGUUUUACGAACGGACUCUGAAUUAGAGGACAAAACGGUCCGGAAGUGGGAAAAUUUUGCGGUGGUGGCUACAAAUUGAUAGAAACGGUGGGAAGAAACACACAAAUUGGACUCUAACAAGACCUAGCCAGUAACAAGAUCUCGACCAGGACACAAACUCAACACUACGGACUCUGAACUGAAAUAUGGAAAGGCUAUGGCGCGGAUGGGUUGUAGGACAUGAAAACAAUAUAGCACUAGACUUUUGGGACAAACACAAGGACACUCGAAACUAAGGAUAGAUGUGAACCUAACGGUACAUCUGAAGCUUUGAUUAACACUUGAGGAGAACAAGUGUGGCCCGAUCUUCCGAAAGGUUCUACUAACUAUCAAUUUGGUGGAAACGAGACCCAAAUCAAUCCACCUUGCGAACAACGCGGUUCGAAACCCUGCAAUUCUUUUUUAUUUUUUUUUGAUAUUUUUCUUUUACUUAGGAGCACUCAAGAAGUAACCACACGAAAUUUGAGCUUAAAAAAGUGAAAGACGUGGCCUGUGGAAUUUUUUGAAGAUUGCAAAAAAUAUAAAAAAAACUUUAGGAGGUGAAAACUCAAAAUUCAGGGGCGAAUUUGGGGAUUCUAAAAUUAUCGAACCCACCUCUAGCGGAGAUAGACAGAUCCAAAAAUUUGUUCUGAUCGAUUUUGAUAUAUUGAACGUCAAAAUCGGAGUUCGUAUGCGAAAGUUAUGGCUGUUUUACGAACGGACUCUGAAUUAGAGGACAAAACGGUCCGGAAGUGGGAAAAAUUUACGGUGGUGGCUAGAAAUUGAUGGAAACAGUGGGAAAAAACACACAAACUGGAAUGUAACAAGACCUAACCAGUAACAAGACCUCGACCAGGACACAAACUCAACACUACGGACUCUGAAACUGAAAUAUGCAAAGGUUGUGGCGCGGAUGGGUUGUAGGAAAUGAAAACAAUUUGGCACUAGACUUAUGGGACGAAGACAAGGACACUCGAAACUAAGGGUAGAUGUGAACCUAACGAUACGUAUGAAGCUUUGAUUACAACUUCAGGAGAACAAGGCCCGAUCUUCCGAAAGGUUCUGGUAACUAUCAAUUUGGUGGAAACGAGACCCAAAUCAGUCCACCUUGCGAACAACGCGGUUCGAAACCCUGCAAUUCUUUUUAUUUUUUUUGAUAUUUUUUAUUUACUUAGGAGCACUCAAGAAGUAACCACCGGAAAUUUGAGCUUAAACAAGUUAAAGACGUGGCCUGUGGAAUUUUUUGAAGAUUGCGAAAAAUAUAAAAAAAACUUUAGGACGUGAAAACUCAAACUUCAGGGGCGAAUUUGGGGAUUCUAAAAUUAUCGCACCUGCCUCUAGCAGAGAUAGACAGAUCCAAAAAUUUGUUCUGAUCGAUUUUGAUAUAUGGAACGCCAAAAUCGGAGUUCGUAUGCGAAAGUUAUGGCUGUUUUGCGAACGGACUCUGAAUUAGAGGACAAAACGGUCCGGAAUUGGGAAAAAUUUGUGGUGGUGGCUAGAAAUUGAUGGAAACGGUGGGAAAAAACACACAAACUGGACUCUAACAAGACCAAAUCAGUAACAAGACCUUGACCAGGACACAAACUCAACACUACGGACUCUGAAACUGAAAUAUGCAAAGGUUAUGGCGCGGAUGGGUUGUAGGACAUGAAAACAAUUUGGCACUAGACUUAUGGGACGAACACAAGGACACUCGAAACUAAAGGUAGAUGUGAACCUAACGGUACGUCUGAAGCUUUGAUUACCACUUGAGGAGAACAAGGCUUGAUCUUCCGAAAGGUUGUGGUAACUAUCGAUUUGGUGGAAACGAGACACAAAUCAAUCCAGUUUGCUAACAACACGAUUCGAAACCCUGCAAUUCUUUUUUUUAUAUAUUUUUCUUUUACUUAGGAGCACUGAAGAAGUAACCACAAGAAAUUUGAGCUUAAACAAGUGAAGGACAUGGCCUGUGGAAUUUUUUGAAGAUUGCGAAAAAUAUGAAAAUAAUGUUUAGGAGGUGAAUACUCAAAUUUUCAGAGGCGAGUUUGGGAAUUCUAAAUUUGUCACACCCGCCUAUGGCGGGGAUAGACAAAUCCAAAAAUUUUUUUGAUCGAUUUUGAUAUAUGGAACGUCAAAAUCAGAGUUCGUAGGCGAGAGUUAUGGCUGUUUUACGAACAGACUCUGAAUUAGAGGACAAAACGGUCCGGAAGUGGGAAAAAUUUGCGGUGGUGGCUAUAAAUUGAUGGAAACAGUGGGAAGAAACACACAAAUUGGACUCUAACAAGACCUAACUAGUAACAAGAUCUCGACCAGGACACAAACUCAACACUACGGACUCUGAAACUGAAAUAUGCAAAGGCUAUGGCGCGGAUGGGUUGUAGGACAUGAAAACAAUAUAGCACUAGACUUAUGGGACGAACACAAGGACACUCGAAACUAAGGAUAGAUGUGAACCUAACGGUACGUCUGAAGCUUUGAUUAACACUUGAGGAGAACAAGUGUGGCCCGAUCUUCCGAAAGGUUCUAGUAACUAUCAAUUUGGUGGAAACGAGAUCCAAAUCAACCCAUCUUGCGAACAACGCGGUUCGAAACCCUGCAAUUCUUUUUUUUUGAUAUUUUUCUUUUACUAAGGAGCAGUCAAGAAGUAACCACAGGAAAUUUGAGCUUAAACAAGUGAAAGACUUGGCCUGUGGAAUUUUUUGAAUAUUGCAAAAAAUAUAAAAAAACUUUAGGAAGUGAAAACUCAAACUUCAGGGGCGAAUUUGGGGAUUCUAAAAUUAUCGAACCCACCUCUAGCGAAGAUAGACAGAUCCAAAAAUUUCUUCUCAUCGAUUUUGAUAUAUGGAACGUCAAUAUCUGAGUUCGUAUGCGAAAGUUAUGGCUGUUUUACGAACGAACUCCGAAUUUGAGGACAAAACGGUCCGGAAGUGGGAAAAAUUUGUGGUGGUGGCUAGAAAUUGAUGGAAACGGUGGGAAAAAACACACAAACUGGACUCUAACAAGACCAAAUCAGUAACAAGACCUCGACCAGGACACAAACUCAACACUACGGACUCUGAAACUGAAAUAUGCAAAGGUUGUGGCGCGGAUGGGUUGUAGGAAAUGAAAACAAUUUGGCACUAGACUUAUGGGACGAAGACAAGGACACUCGAAACUAAGGGUAGAUGUGAACCUAACGGUACGUAUGAAGCUUUGAUUACAACUUCAGGAGAACAAGGCCCGAUCUUCCGAAAGGUUCUGGUAACUAUCGAUUUGGUGGAAACGAGACCCAAAUCAGUCCACCUUGCGAACAACGCGGUUCGAAACCCUGCAAUUCUUUUUAUUUUUUUUGAUAUUUUUUAUUUACUUAGGAGCACUCAAGAAGUAACCACCGGAAAUUUGAGCUUAAAUAAGUUAAAGACGUGGCCUGUGGAAUUUUUUGAAGAUUGCGAAAAAUAUAAAAAAAACUUUAGGAGGUGAAAACUCAAACUUCAGGGGCGAGUUUGGGGAUUCUAAAAUUAUCGCACCCGCCUCUAGCCAAGAUAGACAGAUCCAAAAAUUUGUUCUCAUCGAUUUUGAUAUAUGGAACGUCAAAAUCGGAGUUCGUAUGCGAAAGUUAUGGCUGUUUUGCGAACGGACUCCGAAUUAGAGGACAAAACGGUCUGGAAUUGGGAAAAAUUUGUGGUGGUGGCUAGAAAUUGAUGGAAACGGUGGGAAAAAACACACAAACUAGACUCUAACAAGACCAAAUCAGUAACAAGACCUUGACCAGGACACAAACUCAACACUACGGACUCUGAAACUGAAAUAUGCAAAGGUUAUGGCGCGGAUGGGUUGCAGGACAUGAAAACAAUUUGGCACUAGACUUAUGGGACGAACACAAGGACACUCGAAACUAAAGGUAGAUGUGAACCUAACGGUACGUCUGAAGCUUUGAUUACCACUUGAGGAGAACAAGGCCUGAUCUUCUGAAAGGUUGUGGUAACUAUCGAUUUGGUGGAAACGAGACACAAAUCAAUCCAGUUUGCGAACAACACGAUUGGAAACCCAGCAAUUCUUUUUUUUUUAUGUUUUUAUUUUACUUAGGAGCACUCAAGAAGUAACCACAAGAAAUUUGAGCUUAAACAAGUGAAGGACGUGGCCUGUGGAAUUUUUUGAAGUUUGCGAAAAAUAUGAAAAUAAUGUUUAGGAGGUGAAAACUCAAAUUUUCAGAGGCGAGUUUGGGAAUUCUAAAUUUGUCGCACCCGCCUAUGGCGGGGAUAGAUAGAUCUAAAAAAUUUUCUGAUCGAUUUUGAUAUAUGGAACGUCAAAAUCGGAGUUCGUAGGCGAAAGUUAUGGCUGUUUUACGAACGGACUCUGAAUUAGAGGACAAAUCGGUCCGGAAGUGGGAAAGUUUUGCGGUGGUGGUUAUAAAUUGAUGGAAACGGUGGGAAGAAACACACAAAUUGGACUCUAACAAGACCUAACCAGUAACAAGAUCUCGACCAGGACACAAACUCAACACUACGGACUGAACUGAAAUAUGCAAAGGCUAUGGCGCGGAUGGGUUGUAGGACAUGAAAACAAUAUAGCACUAGACUUAUGGGACGAACACAAGGACACUCGAAACUAAAGAUAGAUGUGAACCUAACGGUACGUCUGAAGCUUUGAUUAACACUUGAGGAGAACAAGUGUGGCCCGAUCUUCCGAAAGGUUCUAGUAACUAUCAAUUUGGUGGAAACGAGACCCAAAUCAAUCCACCUUGCGAACAACGCGGUUCAAAACCCUGCAAUUCUUUUUAUUUUUUUUGAUAUUUUUCUUUUAUUUAGGAGCACUCAAGAAGUAACCACAGGAAAUUUGAGCUUAAACAAGUGAAAGACAUGGCCUGUGGAAUUUUUGGAAGAUUGCGAAAAAUAUAAAAAAAACUUUAGGAGGUGAAAACUCAAACUUCAGGGGCAAAUUUGGGGAUUCUAAAAUAAUCGAACCCACCUCUAGCAGAGAUAGACAGAUCCAAAAAUUUGUUCUGAUCGACUUUGAUAUAUGGAACGUCAAAAUCGGAGUUCGUAUGAGAAAGUUAUGGUUGUUUUACGAACGGACUCCGAAUUAGAGGACAAAACGGUCCGGGAGUGGGAAAAAUUUGUGGUGGUGGUUAGAAAUUGAUGGAAACGGUGGGAAAAAACAUACAAACUGGACUCUAACAAGACCAAAUCAGUAACAGGACCUCGACCAGGACACAAACUCAACACUACGGACUCUGAAACUGAAAUAUGCAAAGGUUAUGGCGCGCAUGGGUUAUAGGACAUGAAAACAAUUUGGCACUAGACUUAU